CCCUUAGAUGUCCUGGGCCGCACGCGCGCUACACUGAGUGUCUGAGAUACGAGUCUGCCUGGUCCGGCAAGGUCUAGGUAAUCGCUAAAAGACACAUCAUGCUUGGGAUAGAUUAUUGCAAAUAUUAAUCUUGAACGGGGAAUUCCUAGUAAGCGCAAGUCAACAGCUUGCGUUGAUUACGUCCCUGCCCUUUGUACACACCGCCCGUCGCUACUACUGAUUGGAUGUUUAAGCGAGGUUCUCGAACUGCUAGCGACUUAGCUUCGGUGAGGUCGCAGUGUGGGAAGUGAACCUAGCUUUGGUGUCUAGAGGAAGUAAAAGUCGUAACA
RNAcentral lists this ribosomal RNA (329 nucleotides) under uncultured eukaryote. Its description in RNAcentral is "partial 18S ribosomal RNA". It matches the Rfam family "Eukaryotic small subunit ribosomal RNA", at positions 1470 to 1796 of the family's 1831-position model. The record is from RNAcentral.